This 550-nucleotide ribosomal RNA is filed under the name uncultured Chlorophyta. RNAcentral describes it as "SSU rRNA". It matches the Rfam family "Eukaryotic small subunit ribosomal RNA", at positions 595 to 1149 of the family's 1831-position model. Lineage: Eukaryota; Viridiplantae; Chlorophyta. The record is from RNAcentral.
UAGCGUAUAUUUAAGUUGUUGCAGUUAAAAAGCUCGUAGUUGGAUUUCGGAUGUGAACGACCGGUCCGCCGUUGCGGUGUGUACUGGACGUUUGUAUCUUGUUGUCGGGGACGCGCACCUUGCCUUAAGUGGUCGGGACGCGGAGUCGGCGCUGUUACUUUGAAAAAAUUAGAGUGUUCAAAGCAGGCAACCGCUCUGAAUACAUUAGCAUGGAAUAACGCUAUAGGACUCUGGUCUUAUUGUGUUGGUCUUCGAGACCGGAGUAAUGAUUAAGAGGGACAGUUGGGGGCAUUCGUAUUUCAUUGUCAGAGGUGAAAUUCUUGGAUUUAUGAAAGACGAACUUCUGCGAAAGCAUUUGCCAAGGAUGUUUUCAUUAAUCAAGAACGAAAGUUGGGGGCUCGAAGACGAUCAGAUACCGUCCUAGUCUCAACCAUAAACGAUGCCGACUAGGGAUUGGCGGAUGUUAAAUCGAUGACUUCGCCAGCACCUUAUGAGAAAUCAAAGUUUUUGGGUUCCGGGGGGAGUAUGGUCGCAAGGCUGAAACUUAAAG